UACCUUGAUAGGGUAAAUUAUGUAACAACUAUUACAUUCA
Molecule: transfer RNA, 40 nt
Filed under: Gasterophilus nigricornis
Lineage: Eukaryota; Metazoa; Arthropoda; Insecta; Diptera; Oestridae
Description: partial tRNA-Ile
Source: RNAcentral